Molecule: non-coding RNA, 162 nt
Filed under: uncultured Dysosmobacter sp.
Lineage: Bacteria; Bacillati; Bacillota; Clostridia; Eubacteriales; Oscillospiraceae
Description: Lysine riboswitch
Rfam family: Lysine riboswitch aptamer
About the family: Riboswitches are metabolite binding domains within certain messenger RNAs that serve as precision sensors for their corresponding targets. Allosteric rearrangement of mRNA structure is mediated by ligand binding, and this results in modulation of gene expression.
Source: RNAcentral
AGGAUAGAGGCGCGGCGCGCAAGAGUACCCCCGGAGCCAAGGACAGGCAUCCGCCGGAGGGAAAGGGCAAGCCGCCGAAGGGUCGUUGCUUUGCCUGAGGGGCGAUCACCUGGGCCGUCGGAGAAUAUCCGCCGGACUGCCACAUUUGUGGAGCGCUAUCAG